CCUACGGGAGGCUGCAGUGAGGAAUAUUGGUCAAUGGGCGAGAGCCUGAACCAGCCAAGUCGCGUGAGGGAGUACUGCCCUAUGGGUUGUAAACCUCUUUUGUCGGGGAGCAAAAGCCGGACGUGUCCGGCUGUGAGAGUACCCGAAGAAAAAGCAUCGGCUAACUCCGUGCCAGCAGCCGCGGUAAUACGGAGGAUGCGAGCGUUAUCCGGAUUUAUUGGGUUUAAAGGGUGCGCAGGCGGAUUUUUAAGUCAGCGGUCAAAUCGUGGGGCUCAACCCCAUCCAGCCGUUGAAACUGGGGGUCUAGAGUGGGCGAGAGGUAUGCGGAAUGCGUGGUGUAGCGGUGAAAUGCAUAGAUAGCACGCAGAACCCCGAUUGCGAAGGCAGCAUACCGGUGCACAACUGACGCUCAGGCACGAAAGCGUGGGUAUCGAACAGGAUUAGAUACCCUAGUAGUC
Molecule: ribosomal RNA, 458 nt
Filed under: uncultured bacterium
Lineage: Bacteria
Description: partial 16S ribosomal RNA
Rfam family: Bacterial small subunit ribosomal RNA
Source: RNAcentral